GGCCAGACUCCUACGGGAGGCAGCAGUGAGGAAUAUUGGUCAAUGGCCGAAGGGCUGAACCAGCCAAGCCGCGUGAAGGAAUAAGGCCCUACGGGUCGUAAACUUCUUUAGUCAGGGAACAAAGGGAGCCACGCGUGGCGCUGUGAGUGUACCUGAAGAAUAAGCAUCGGCUAACUCCGUGCCAGCAGCCGCGGUAAUACGGAGGAUGCGAGCGUUAUCCGGAUUUAUUGGGUUUAAAGGGUGCGUAGGCGGUUUGUCAAGUCAGCGGUAAAAAUUCGGGGCUCAACCCCGUCGCGCCGUUGAAACUGAUGUUCUUGAGUGGGCGAGAAGUAUGCGGAAUGCGUGGUGUAGCGGUGAAAUGCAUAGAUAUCACGCAGAACUCCGAUUGCGAAGGCAGCAUACCGGCGCCCAACUGACGCUGAAGCACGAAAGCGUGGGUAUCGAACAGGAUUAGAUACCCGUGUA
RNAcentral lists this ribosomal RNA (465 nucleotides) under uncultured bacterium. RNAcentral describes it as "bacterial SSU rRNA". It matches the Rfam family "Bacterial small subunit ribosomal RNA", at positions 329 to 792 of the family's 1533-position model. The record is from RNAcentral.